CCAGCAGCUGCGGUAAUUCCAGCUCCAAUAGCGUAUAUUAAAGUUGCUGCAGUUAAAAAGCUCGUAGUUGGAUUUCUGGCGUUUCAUUUCAGGCCGGCCACGGUUUCGUGUGUUAGUGCUUGAGAUCUUCGCCAUCCUUCCAAUGGCUAUUCAUCCUUCUUCAUUGAGGUGGUGAGUGGUAUUGGAUCUUUUACUUUGAAAAAAUUAGAGUGUUUCAAGCAGGCUUUAUGCUAUGAAUACAUUAGCAUGGAAUAAUAAUUUAGGACUUCGGUUCUAUUUUGUUGGUUUCUAGGACUGAAGUAAUGAUUGAUAGGGAUAGUUGGGGGUGCUAGUAUUCAGCGGCCAGAGGU
RNAcentral lists this ribosomal RNA (350 nucleotides) under uncultured eukaryote. RNAcentral's name for it is "SSU rRNA". It matches the Rfam family "Eukaryotic small subunit ribosomal RNA", at positions 567 to 912 of the family's 1831-position model. The record is from RNAcentral.